Molecule: ribosomal RNA, 301 nt
Filed under: uncultured bacterium
Lineage: Bacteria
Description: partial 16S ribosomal RNA
Rfam family: Bacterial small subunit ribosomal RNA
Source: RNAcentral
CAGCCGCCGCGGGAAUACGAAGGGUGCAAGCGUUAAUCGGAAUUACUGGGCGUAAAGCGUGCGUAGGUGGUGGUUUAAAUCCGUUGUGAAAGCCCAGGGCUCAACCUGGGAAUUGCAGUGGAUACUGGGUCACUAGAGUGUGGUAGAGGAUAGUGGAAUUUCCGGUGUAGCAGUGAAAUGCGUAGAGAUCGGAAGGAACAUCUGUGGCGAAGGCGACUAUCUGGGCCAACACUGACACUGAGGCACGAAAGCGUGGGGAGCAAACAGGAUUAGAUACCCCUGUAGUCCCUGUCUCUUAUAC